RNAcentral lists this ribosomal RNA (986 nucleotides) under uncultured Chloroflexota bacterium. RNAcentral's name for it is "bacterial SSU rRNA". It matches the Rfam family "Bacterial small subunit ribosomal RNA", at positions 509 to 1504 of the family's 1533-position model. The record is from RNAcentral. Lineage: Bacteria; Bacillati; Chloroflexota.
CAGCAGCCGCGGUAAUACGUAGGAGGCGAGCGUUAUCCGGAUUUACUGGGCGUAAAGCGCGUGCAGGUGGUAUUCUAAGUCGGACGUGAAAGCUCCUGGCUCAACUAGGAGAGGUCGUUCGAAACUAGGAAACUUGAGGGUGGUAGAGGAGAGUGGAAUUCCCGGUGUAGUGGUGAAAUGCGUAGAUAUCGGGAGGAACACCAGUGGCGAAGGCGGCUCUCUGGGCCAUUCCUGACACUAAGACGCGAAAGCUAGGGGAGAGAACGGGAUUAGAAACCCCGGUAUUCCUAGCCGUAAACGAUGUCAACUAGGUGUAGGGGGUAUCCAACCCCCCUGUGCUGCAGCUAACGCAUUAAGUUGACCGCCUGGGGACUACGGCCGCAAGGCUAAAACUCAAAGGAAUUGACGGGGACCCGCACAAGCAGCGGAGCGUGUGGUUUAAUUCGAGGCUACGCGAAGAACCUUACCAGGGUUUGACAUGGCGGUGGUAGGAAAGUGAAAGCUGACCGACCCUUCGGGGAGCCGUCACAGGUGCUGCAUGGCUGUCGUCAGCUCGUGCCGUGAGGUGUUAGGUUAAGUCCUGUAACGAGCGCAACCCUCGUCGUUAGUUAUACGUGUCUAACGAGACUGCCGGUGAUAAGCCGGAGGAAGGCGGGGAUGACGUCAAGUCAGCAUGGCCUUUAUAUCCUGGGCUACACACACGCUACAAUGGCCGGUACAAUGGGUCGCGAAGCCGCGAGGCGGAGCCAAUCCUCUAAAGCCGGUCUCAGUUCGGAUUGUAGGCUGCAACUCGCCUGCAUGAAGUCGGAGUUGCUAGUAACCGCGCGUCAGCAACAGUGCGGUGAAUACGUUCCCGGGUCUUGUACACACCGCCCGUCACGUCAUGGAAGUUGGCAACGCCUGAAGUCAGUGGGCUAACCCUAACGGGAGGCAACUGCCCAAGGCGGGGUCGGUAACUGGGACGAAGUCGUAACAAGGUAGCCGUA